RNAcentral lists this long non-coding RNA (301 nucleotides) under Monodon monoceros (narwhal). RNAcentral's name for it is "lncRNA (ENSMMNG00015018996.1)". The record is from RNAcentral. Lineage: Eukaryota; Metazoa; Chordata; Mammalia; Artiodactyla; Monodontidae.
ACCCACGCGGCGCUCUGCCUGCCCCCGGGUGCCGUCCGCGGCGGUUCGAUUGGAGCAGCCGCCGAAUAGCGCUUGGCGCCAUUUUGAAGCGGAGAGGAGGAGGAACGGCCGGGCUCGCUGCGGAAGGGGAGGGGGGGGGAGGAGGCGAUUGGAUGCGGCGGCGGCGGCGGAUCCCGGAGAGCAGCGGAGUGAGAGGAGUAGCGAGUCGGCCACCCGGAGUUUUCAUGUCUUUGGCCAUUUUAAUGGAUUCGGGGAAGAGGAGAGAGAAAUGUUAUUAUGAAGUUGACCACUGUAAAAUCAG